CCUACGGGAGGCAGCAGUGAGGAAUAUUGGUCAAUGGUCGGGAGACUGAACCAGCCAAGCCGCGUGAGGGAUGAAGGUACAGAGUAUCGUAAACCUCUUUUGUCAGGGAACAAAGGCGGGGACGUGUCCCCGGAUGCGUGUACCGGAAGAAAAAGCAUCGGCUAAGUCCGUGCCAGCAGCCGCGGUAAUACGGAGUAUGCGAGCGUUAUCCGGAUUUAUUGGGUUUAAAGGGUGCGCAGGCGGUCUGUUAAGUGAGAUGUGAAAUCCGCGGGCUUAACCCGCGAAUUGCAGGUGAAACUAUAGGUCUUGAGUGCGCGGGAGGUAGGCGGAAGUCGUGGUGUAGCGGUGAAAUGCGUAGAUAUGAGGAAGAACACCGGUGGCGAAGGCAGAUUGCUGGACGGUAACUGACGGUGAGGCGCGAAAGCGUGGGGAGCGAACAGGAUUAGAUACCCCUGUAGUC
Molecule: ribosomal RNA, 460 nt
Filed under: uncultured bacterium
Lineage: Bacteria
Description: partial 16S ribosomal RNA
Rfam family: Bacterial small subunit ribosomal RNA
Source: RNAcentral